GCCGAUGUAAUGUACUGGCUUCUUGAUAUAUUUAUGUAAGUGUAAAUAAAAAUAGUGUAAUAUACUAUUUUUAUUGGACUUAAAGAAAUAAAAUAUAAGUCGGAAACGACUUGUGCUGAAAUUGGAGUGGAAACAAAAGAUUUAGAAUUUUCUGUAAGAAGCGGGGCUGAUCUUUUAGCAGAAAAUUCACAGUGUCAGAAAAUUAUGAAAAAUUGAGAAUAUGUCGAAAUUAUUUUUAUGAGGCUAGAUUUAAAAUUUCAUGUCUUUCCGACACCUGAAAAGUGAAAAAUAAAAUAUAACUACUAUCUGCUAAAGAUUCUAGUCAGUAAAGUUUUCGGUGACCAAAAAUAUUCUAAACACUGAAAAUUUAAGGUAUAUUUCUUUUUAUUAGCUUAAACUGAGCCCGACUGUCAAAUUUGAGCACAAACGGACAUUCAGAAGGGCUCCGGCGAAAAAGAAUAGAUUCUGAGCUGCUAAACUGAAAUUAUGUUGAUGUGAGGAGUAUUGACUCUAAAAGGG
RNAcentral lists this long non-coding RNA (519 nucleotides) under Ananas comosus (pineapple). RNAcentral describes it as "long non-coding RNA (ACOM_LNC013456)". The record is from RNAcentral. Lineage: Eukaryota; Viridiplantae; Streptophyta; Magnoliopsida; Poales; Bromeliaceae.